RNAcentral lists this ribosomal RNA (450 nucleotides) under uncultured bacterium. RNAcentral describes it as "bacterial SSU rRNA". It matches the Rfam family "Bacterial small subunit ribosomal RNA", at positions 354 to 796 of the family's 1533-position model. The record is from RNAcentral.
GUGGGGAAUAUUGGACAAUGGGCGAAAGCCUGAUCCAGCCAUGCCGCGUGUGUGAAGAAGGUCUUCGGAUUGUAAAGCACUUUAAGUUGGGAGGAAGGGCAGUAAGUUAAUACCUUGCUGUUUUGACGUUACCGACAGAAUAAGCACCGGCUAACUUCGUGCCAGCAGCCGCGGUAAUACGAAGGGUGCAAGCGUUAAUCGGAAUUACUGGGCGUAAAGCGCGCGUAGGUGGUUUUGUAAGUUGGAGGUGAAAUCCCCGGGCUCAACCUGGGAAAUGCCUCCAAAACUGCAUGACUAGAGUACGGUAGAGGGUAGUGGAAUUUCCUGUGUAGCGGUGAAAUGCGUAGAUAUAGGAAGGAACACCAGUGGCGAAGGCGACUACCUGGACUGAUACUGACACUGAGGUGCGAAAGCGUGGGGAGCAAACAGGAUUAGAAACCCGAGUAGUCC